Molecule: long non-coding RNA, 988 nt
Organism: Lycium barbarum (goji berry)
Lineage: Eukaryota; Viridiplantae; Streptophyta; Magnoliopsida; Solanales; Solanaceae
Exons: 2
Source: RefSeq, a predicted model, not a curated record
UACACCAAAAACAAGUAUAUUCUCUCCUUUCCUCUUCCACGCAAACCCUAGGUGCCGCCUAGGGUCCAUCUCCUCUCUCCUGCCCAAAAUGGCAAAGGGUCAGAUUUCGCAGAGAUUUAACGGUCCUGGUACGACUAAAUUUAUGAAACAAUCAAUGCUUGAUAUUGUUAGCACUUGAAUUCCAUCCAAACACAGUAGUAAUCACCCUUUUAUUUGCUUUUUCCUUUUAUUUCUUGAAUCAAAAUACGAUUUUUGACAUUUUUGUUUCUUAUUUAUGGCUGUACGACCUCGAUUCUUAUUGGUUCAUAAGGGUUUGGUUUGGAUAGUCCUAAAAUGGAUCAGAUCUGACUUUAUACAUUGGUUGUCUUUAGAUCUUGAUCGUUAAUUUCGUGUAUUGAAUGUUUAGUUAUGAAAAAAUGAUGUUUGUACCACAUCAGUAAUUUUAGCCUUUGAAAUAUUUUUGGGGUUCUAUAAAUAGAACCUCAACCCUCACCAUUUCACAAGUUUUGACAACCUCAAAAGGCUAGAAAUCUCGAUUUUAAGAUUCUCAGUAUAAAAAUUUUAAACUUUGACCUUAAAACUUGAAGUUUUUCCUAAGUUCUAAAGUUAUUUUCUUUUGUUGUUCUAUAUUCUGUGUGCCUGAGUUUUGAAAUUGGAAGCACAAGGCUCCAAAGUCCAUUCUUUUCUUGGCUGUGCAUAUAAAAGGUCCAGCCACCCUAUUAGGCCUUUGGCCCAAUAGGAAAAUUCUUUCAAAGAUUUAUUGAGUCCGAGAAAAAAAAGGGAAGCUAAUAUAUAUUGAAGGCCCAGUCAUGGGUGAAAAUGACAUUGAGGCACAACCAUGGGUGAAAAUGGUUAACUAGGGGUUUGGUACACCCCUAGUCUAUCCCUCCUACAUUACUUACGUUAUUCCAUCUUUUUUAAAAUGUUGUAUUGUAUUUGUACUUGUAAAAACAACUCACAUUAUUAUUGGAAUCGGUUAUGGUUUGAA